Molecule: unclassified non-coding RNA, 2445 nt
Filed under: Hevea brasiliensis (rubber tree)
Lineage: Eukaryota; Viridiplantae; Streptophyta; Magnoliopsida; Malpighiales; Euphorbiaceae
Source: RNAcentral
GCUUUUUGUCUGCUCUUUUCUGUUCUUCAUCUCAAGAUUGGCCGCUACACAAAACACUAUCACUCCAGGUCAAUCCAUGAGAGAUAAUGAGACGCUGAUUUCAGCAGACGGAAGCUUUGAGCUUGGAUUUUUCAGUCCUGGUAAUGCAAGAAGCCGAUAUUUGGGAGUUUGGUAUAAGAAGGUAUCAAGCAGGACUAUUGUGUGGGUAGCCAAUAAAGAAACUCCAAUUCUCACUAAAUCAGGAGCUUUACGCUUGGAUAACAAAGGAAAUCUCAUCCUCCGCAAUGGCAAGGAUGGUGUAGUUUGGUCAUCCAACAAUACAUCAAGGACACAGCAGAAUCCGGUAGCAAAGCUCCUAGAUUCAGGAAAUCUUAUUGUCAGAGAUGGUAAAGAUAACAUGCUAUGGCAAAGUUUUGAUUAUCCAAGUGAUACCAUGCUUCCAGGUAUGAAACUUGGAAGAAACCUUGCCACGGGAUUAAAUUGGUUUCUAACAACUUGGAAGAACUCAAAUAAUCCAGCACCUGGUGAGUUUUCGUUUUGGAUCGAUCCUCGUGGGUUUCCCCAGCUGGUUAUUACAAGCAGAACAGCUAUACGGUUUCGACUUGGGUCGUGGAAUGGUCUUCAGUUUACUGGAACUCCUCAGGUGAGACAAAAUCCAUUAUACAAUUUUCAAUUUGUAUCAAACCAGCAUGAGAUCUAUUACACGUAUGAGCUCCAAAACAAUUCGGUUGCGUCAAGGGUGGUGCUGAAUGAGACAGGAAUUCUACAGCGGUAUGUUUGGAUAGAUAGAACACAAAUAUGGAAUCUUUUCUUUACGGUGCCAAUAGAUCAAUGUGACAGCUAUGCAUUUUGUGGUGCAAAUGCAAUCUGCAACAUUGGUAGCUACCCUGUUUGUGCAUGCUUGGAAGGGUUUGUCCCCAAAUCCCCAUCAGAUUGGAAACAGGCUGAUUGGUUAGAUGGAUGCGUUCGGAGGACUAAACUCGAUUGUCAUAGUGGAGAUGGAUUUUGGAAGCUCACAGGGCUAAAAUUACCUGACACAUCUUCUUCUAUGGUUAAUGAGAGCCUAAGCCUGAAAGAAUGCAAGGCAUUGUGCCUUAGAAACUGUUCAUGUGUAGCGUGUGCAAAUUCAGAUGCAAGAGGUGUCGGAAGUGGCUGCCUGCUUUGGUUCGAUAAGCUGACUGACAUUAGACAUUUCGUUGAAGGUGGGCAAGACCUCUACAUACGGAUGGCUGCUUCAGAAUUAGCUUGGAUUGAAGCAAAAAAGAAAUCAAAUGAGAGGAAAAAAGAUGCAGUUGUAGUUAGUUGUCUCAUUUUUAUUAUGGGAACGCUAAUGUCAGCAUUGCUUUUUUAUAUGCGAAAGCAAAAACAAGGAAUGAGGAACCAUGAUGACAUGAAGGAUUAUGAUAAAGAUAGUGCAAUGGAAGAGAUGGAAUUACCAAUCUUUGAUUUAGUAAUUGUGAAGAAUGCCACUAACAACUUUUCAAGAAAUAAUAAACUGGGAGAAGGUGGCUUUGGACCCGUAUUCAAGGGUACAUUAUUGGACGGGCAAGAAAUAGCGGUGAAAAGGCUUUCUGAAACUUCCAGACAAGGAAGAGAAGAGUUCAAAAAUGAAGUCAAAUUGAUUGCGAAGCUUCAGCAUAGAAAUCUUGUAAAGCUUCUUGGCUGUUGCAUUGAAGGAGAGGAAAAAUUGUUGAUCUAUGAAUACAUGCCCAACAAAAGCUUGGACUCUUUCAUAUUUGAUCGAAAGCUGCGUGUGACUUUGGACUGGGGGAUGCGUUAUAGCAUAAUUUUGGGAAUUGCUCGUGGGCUUCUAUAUCUUCACCAGGAUUCCAGGCUGAGGAUCAUCCAUAGAGACUUGAAAACAAGUAACAUUUUGCUAGAUGAGGAGAUGAACCCCAAAAUUUCUGACUUCGGCUUGGCAAGGAUUUUCGGAGGCAAAGAAACAGCUGCAAAUACCACCAGAGUAGUUGGAACCUAUGGAUAUAUAGCUCCUGAGUAUGCACUGGAUGGUCUAUUUUCUUUCAAGUCAGAUGUGUUCAGCUUUGGAGUAGUGGUGCUUGAGAUUACAAGUGGAAAAAGGAACAUAGGUUUUUAUCAACCUGAACAAUCUCUGAGUCUUCUAGGUUAUGCCUGGAAUCUGUGGAAAGAAGAAAAGGCGUUGGACUUUUUAGACCCAACCUUGAGGAAAACCUGCAAUGCAAAUGAAUUUUUGAAGUGCAUAACUGUUGGACUUUUAUGUGUACAAGAGGACCCCUGUGACCGUCCCACUAUGUCAAAUGUACUACUCAUGCUUGGCAGUGAAACUGCUUCUCUUCCAGGCCCUAAACAACCAGCCUUCGUUGUUAGGAGAUGCCCUUCCAGCAGAGCUUCUUCAUCUGGCAAACCAGAAACUUGCUCCAACAACGAGUUAACGGUCACUCUAGAAGACGGCAGAUAGCAGAGAGG